Molecule: long non-coding RNA, 2693 nt
Filed under: Scophthalmus maximus (turbot)
Lineage: Eukaryota; Metazoa; Chordata; Actinopteri; Pleuronectiformes; Scophthalmidae
Description: lncRNA (ENSSMAG00000031821.1)
Source: RNAcentral
UCAAACAAGCCCUGUUGUUUGUCAACAGGUCCCCUCAGUGACGGGCUUACUAGCGCCGCCCAGUGGUGUCAUGCUGAACAGUGUCCUCUGGGUUGGGCGGCCGGAGGGAGAAGGUCAGAUAUGCAUGAAAGCUGCAAAAGAAAUAAUAAUAAAAAAAAGCCUGCUUGUUUUUUGAGGGAAAUUACAUUUGAAGUGUUUUGCUAAACUGUCGCUGCAGUGGCGCCCCUGGUGCAUUGUGUCCCUCUGCGUUGUCUGACAGACACACGGGGAGGCGGGAGGAGGAGGGAUGCCUGCACACACACACACACACACACACACACCCCGGAAACACGGUGCGACGACCGGGGAACAAACAAACAAACAAACAAACAAACUGCCGAGGAAAGCCACCCAGUCCUCCAGGGAGCGUCGAGCGGGCCACGUGUUGUAAAAGUUACCGCCUCUCAGCCGAAACUCACGAAACACGCGGCAACCCACUCCUCGAAAAAACAAACACGUCCGUUUGUCCUCAGUGUCCCACAGCAGACACCACAGGCGAGUCAGGAGCGACCAGACACUCGGGACGAUGUGUGUCCGCAGGUGGCCACUUGUGGAGGACAAGUGAGCUACUACGUGAGCAAAUUAUAAGGCAGAGACGAGGGAUUUCAAGGACGCCUGGACUUCAAUUUAAUCGAAGAGGCUGAGAGUGGAGUGGAAGAGUGACACACGGAGGAGAGAAGUUCAUUAUUCUGCUGAAAAGGAAACCAAUGGCUUUCACAGUCGCCAUGGUAACUGGCCUUUCUUUUGCCGUCAGACCAAUGAUAAGGUACUUCACAGCAUUAAGCACAAUUAUUGCGAGGUAAAAGGGGAAAUAUUGCUUUCCUAAAUGCUAAUAGAUGUGAGAUAUUGAUUGGCAUUGCGAUUCAUUUAGAAGUGUGCCCCGACUGUUUCACCUGCCUGACUGUCCGCUACCUUUAAUGAAAUUUGAUGGAGGUUAUGCUGGAUGAUGGGCCUUUGUGGCGGCUGCACUUGUGUCUUUACUUCAGCUGAACGUGAGAAAUAAAAAAAUUAAAACCCACUUCACUAGAAACUGCAAGGAGCUGGAGAGAGAUGAAGCUGUAAGACGGCGAUAAAGCUAGACAAUUGUGAACAACAAGAGGUAGUUUACUUUAUUCUUCUUUUAUCAAGAAGAAAAAAAAAUAAUAUCAGGAUGGCUUCAAGUCUUCCAAGCUCUGUUGUUGCAAAGACGUCCCAUAACAUAAAUACUGAACACCCGCUGCUUCCCAUCAUUAGCAUGUCAUUCCGUUGUCAAGUGACCCCGCUCCCACCCUCUCACAAAGGCUGGUCGGCCUUGGCAGCAGUGAGGUCAGCACUGAGCACGAGUACAGGCCAUGGGGGGGCCAGUAGGUUUGCGGCAGCCUGCUUAGCGGGUGAGCGGAUGGAGGAUUAGCAUGGUGGAAAGCAUUGGAGCUGGUGUGUGCGUGUGUUUGUGUGUGUGAGGAGGGAUAGGGUGGUGGUGGUGGUGGUGGUGGUGGUGGUGGGGGGCAAAUUGUUUUAACCCCUAUUACAGCAACUGCGUGGUGCUCCUCUUAUCUUGGCUGCCGCAGCCACUCAUUAAUAUUCCGUACAUAUGGCGGUGCUUUCUGUAUCAUUGUCUAUUAAUGGGAGGGAUAAUCGCUCAUUCAAUUAUCAGGCAGUCAGCAAAAGACCAACCGCGGCGGCACACCCCUGGUUCACACAGUGGCACGGCCCAAAACAGAGGUGUGCCAGCGAGAAGGCGAGCGCGAUAGCAGGGAUUACAACAUAUUAGCUACUUUAAUAACUCUGGGCGCCGCGAAUAAUUCUAAGCAAAUGGGGAUCUGUUUGGCGAACGGGAACAGGCCUGAACUUUGCAGCAACAAAGCAGAGGAGGGCAAAUUAUCCGAAACCUCCCUGUUCCACUUCCGUGAUCCACGUGACGGUUUCAGGAAGCGUUUCAUGCAUUUAAACGCUGAAGCUGCUCCAUUGUGGCGAUGACCUGCGGUCAGAAAAGGCCGUUGAUAGCUCUGAGAUAGACUCUGAUGGCCCUGCUGAAUGAAGCUUGACCCUGAUGUCUGCAGGCCAAAGAUCUGUGACGUGAUCAAAUGUAGCGUUGAUCCCCGCUGAUCUGUGCUUUGUGGCCUCAGGACCCUGCGCUGUCCGUCUCCCUGCUGCCGAGGCUGCGGCUUGGAUAUGGCGGGGUUGCUGAUAAUAGUGUGACCUCUGGCAGUUUUGACCUGAAGAGACCUCGUUGAGUCAACACAAGCUCGCCCACAGGAAGAGGGAGAGGAGCACAGAGGGAGAGUUGGAGUCAGGUUGUUUAGUUACCCAGAGUUUCUGUAGGAGGUGGGUCCGGGAGAUUGGAGUGCAGAACUGUUGCAAGCAGGGUUGUUUUGGGGGAGUAUGGAAAAAGAUAGGAGGUGAAAUGUUAACAAAAUCUUAUGAAAAUCCAGAGUUUGAUAAAUUUUCGCAUUCUGAAUGAACCGAAGGCGGCGGUGGCUGUGGAGUGCCUUUGUUGGAGGUCCCAUUUUCUCUGGGAGAGCAGCGCGCUCACAGGGUCAGCGAAGUUACGAAAGUAAUUAAAGCUUGGUGAUUCACCGCCUGCUGCAGAGAAAAGAAAGCAAGCUGUCAUUCUGAUUUAGAAAAAUAAAUUACAAUUUUAAUAAUGGGGGAGGAUGGGGGUGCGAGAAUGUCUA